Long non-coding RNA from Helianthus annuus (common sunflower), 1477 nucleotides. RefSeq lists it as uncharacterized. The transcript has 4 exons. Lineage: Eukaryota; Viridiplantae; Streptophyta; Magnoliopsida; Asterales; Asteraceae. The record is from RefSeq and is a predicted model, not a curated record.
UCAUGAAUUCUUGGCAGCCCACUGCCCCCUUUUCUCUUUUCUUGGUGGCUUCUGCCCAUUACUCCAAACCGCCCCCAACCUUAUCCCCCAUCAAAAACGUAAGUUUUGCAUGAUAUCCACAACUCCUCAAAUCUAAAAACCCUAACUUACGCAUAUUAUAUCUGCUCUACAUUCCUUUCGCUACUGUUGAUGUGAGAAUCAAGCUUUGGAAUCCCUCAAGUAAUUCGGCUCGGGCCCUUAACCAUUCACAUCGCACAUACAACUCGGACGUGGUUGACCAUACCAGCUCAAGUAAUUUAAUCUGUCGAGCUAAGCUAAGAUCUACAGGUACAGCUACGGACGGACAUUGCAAGCGGAUGGAGUGUGUGUGGUUUGGAAAGUGAAUGACCCUUGACUUACAAGUGGCGGAGGCAGAGGUCGAGUUAGGGACAGAGGCAGAGUAAAUGCAGAACGAGGUCCUGGUGUGACUGACCGGAAUCGAAUCUUCUACAUCAAAGCAGGGACCCAACCAACAGCCACUCAUAUUCCACCAAAGAGUGAUAGUGUAGUCGUUCCAAGCACCGGUGGCAGAGACCUCAAUCAGAAUGCUGGUCUUUGAUGAGAGUACACAUAAGUAUAAUAUUUUAAUACUUUGUUUAAAAAAUAAAAUUAAAUAAUUGAAAAUGCGUAAGUAUUAAAAAAUGACUUUUAAUCGGAUCGGUAGAAAUGUUAACCCACGCUCGUGCAAGCGCUUCCAACUCUAUUUGAAUCCAAGGAAUGCUUGGUGCCUUUCACUUGUGUCUGCUUUCCUCCUAGUGUCUGUUUUUCCUUUCUUGCUCUUCGUGGUUUGUGAUUGCGUUUCAGGUAUAACAUCAUCGUCUGCGCCCAAAAAAAACUUAAGUGUGCUCGGGUUCUUGUGACGCUUGGAUCCGUGGCAUUUGGAUGGAUUGUGAUUGCAUUUAUUUGCAUAGAAAGUUGUUGUUGGAUUUGAAUUUGCCACGGUUUGGUGUUUGACUAAAACCGCCAAACGUCAACAUAUUCGGAUCUAUCGGUGUCGUGGCCCGUGGGGUAUACGAGUGGCGAUUGGGUAGAAGGUUUUCCGGGUGUGUUUGGGAAGGGAUGUGCGGAGAAUUUUUAAAAAUUCUGAUGAAUUUCUCAAAAAAAAAUCAAGGACAAAAAGCAACAUUAUUCAAAAGCGUCUUCAUUUAUAAUGUUAAUAGGGAGAAUUGGAGGUUGUGAAAGGGAUUAACGGUAGUAGAAUGCCAUUGGACCAUAAUUCCUCAGGUUUGUGCUUUCAACUUUUUAUUAAUAAUUCUUAUUUGCAGAUAAUGUUGGCUGGCAAUCAGGAACUUAGGGGUAUCAUCCUGUGUUUAUUUCUUCUUGCAAUAGUCAUUUGUUUGGUUUGGUGGCUGUUUUUAGGGAGAUGGUACAUUGCUUUCUUUAGACUCUCUAUGUGUCUUAUGAAUCGUUCAACUUAGAAAAAGCUUCUUGUGUGUGA